Non-coding RNA from Parcubacteria bacterium C7867-001, 71 nucleotides. Lineage: Bacteria; Candidatus Parcubacteria. The record is from Rfam.
GGGCCUAUAGUUUAAUGGUAGAACGUCGGUCUCCAAAACCGUCGGCCGAGGUUCGAUUCCUCGUGGGCCCG